UGGAGCUCUCAGCUUUCGUAUCUGGACUGGACACUUGGAAAUUCAACUUAAGUUUUUUUUUUAAAUAAGUUCCAAACGAAUAUGACGAUCAUAGGUUCUGUUAUUCGGUUUUGCUUCGUUUUUACUUUUGGAAUUCCCGUCAUAGCUUUCAUGAUUUUAUUCGGAUCGUGGAACGAAAGCGCAGCAACUUCAGAGACUGAAGAGAAGAAGGUGCGAAGUGAAACUGUCGAUGAAAAAAAGAUGCGUAACAACAUUAAUGAACAAUUUGAUUCAUCGUAUGGGACCAUCUGCCACUCAUUCUCUGAUACCCAUCCCAUUUUAGAGAAUGAGAAUUGGACCGAAGAUUCUUACACUGACCAGUCAGAUCGCACACUAGCCUCAGUAUGUAAGUGUGCAGGCUGCCAAUCCCAAGUAGGAGGAAAUUUAAACAGAUCGUUCGUUAUUUUUGAGAAUACGCGGAAACGAGAAUAUGCAGGGAGUAACCGUAGCAUGGAAUCACUCUUUGCUUGUGAUGCAUCCGCUUGCUCAGAGGACUGCACAAAAUAUCAAGAAGAUACUUCGUCACAACAAAUUCAAGAGUUUUCUUUCUACUCCGUCGACGACUUGAGUCAGCUCUGCAGUUCUGGCUAUGAAGCAGAUCUCAGUGAGAACCUUAAGAGCUUCCACUCGGCUGUCUCUUGCUAAUGUGACUACGACAUGAAAAAAAUGAGAUUCCGGUUUUCGAGUGGCGGGAUCAUUAAUCACUAAAAGGUCACCGAGUCUCUUUCGUGAGUUAGAGUUCGAAACUGUGAGUCACAGGUUUAGAAGCACAUACUCGAUUAUAAUCGCAAUAAAAGUUUGCAGAAAUGUCAAAUUGCAGUGUUUUUAGCUUCCAAUUUUUGUAUUAUUUUACUGUUGCCCUUAGAAAAACCGACAUGCAACGCAAGUUUUUGUGCAUAGAUCCAUCCGAUAGUACUUCUUAGUAAAUGCAGAAUGCUCCACAUCACAACUUAC
Molecule: long non-coding RNA, 993 nt
Organism: Hyalella azteca
Lineage: Eukaryota; Metazoa; Arthropoda; Malacostraca; Amphipoda; Hyalellidae
Exons: 2
Source: RefSeq, a predicted model, not a curated record